Molecule: ribosomal RNA, 466 nt
Filed under: uncultured bacterium
Lineage: Bacteria
Description: partial 16S ribosomal RNA
Rfam family: Bacterial small subunit ribosomal RNA
Source: RNAcentral
GAUGAACGCUGGCGGCGUGCUUAACACAUGCAAGUCGAACGACGAAGCCCAGCUUGCUGGGUGGUUUAGUGGCGAACGGGUGAGUAACACGUGAGUAACCUGCCCUUAACUCUGGGAUAAGCCUGGGAAACUGGGUCUAAUACCGGAUAGGAGCGUCCACCGCAUGGUGGGUGUUGGAAAGAUUUAUCGGUUUUGGAUGGACUCGCGGCCUAUCAGCUUGUUGGUGGGGUAAUGGCUCACCAAGGCGACGACGGGUAGCCGGCCUGAGAGGGUGACCGGCCACACUGGGACUGAGACACGGCCCAGACUCCUACGGGAGGCAGCAGUGGGGAAUAUUGCACAAUGGGCGCAAGCCUGAUGCAGAGACGCCGCGUGAGGGAUGACGGCCUUCGGGUUGUAAACCGCUUUCAGUAGGGAAGAAGCGAAAGUGACGGUACCUGCAGAAGAAGCACCGGCUAGCUACGUG